This 228-nucleotide ribosomal RNA is filed under the name uncultured bacterium. RNAcentral describes it as "partial 16S ribosomal RNA". It matches the Rfam family "Bacterial small subunit ribosomal RNA", at positions 568 to 795 of the family's 1533-position model. The record is from RNAcentral.
CGUGUAGGCGGUAUUGUAAGUCAGAUGUAAAAGGCUACGGCUUAACCGUAGAUGGUCAUUUGAAACUGCAGUACUUGAGUGCGAGAGAGGGUAGUGGAAUUCCCAGUGUAGCGGUGAAAUGCGUAGAUAUUGGGAAGAACACCAGUAGCGAAGGCGGCUACCUGGCUCGUAACUGACGCUAAUGCGCGAAAGCGUGGGGAGCGAACAGGAUUAGAUACCCUGGUAGUC